GGCGGACGGGUGAGUAACGCGUGGGGAACCUGCCCUGUACCGGGGGAUAGCAGCCGGAAACGGCUGAUAAUACCGCAUAAGCGCACGAAUGUCGCAUGACAUGGUGUGAAAAACUCCGGUGGUAUAGGAUGGACCCGCGUCUGAUUAGCCGGUUGGUGGGGUAAAAGCCUACCAAAGCGAAGAUCAGUAGCCGAGUUGAGAGACUGACCGGCCACAUUGGGACUGAGACACGGCCCAGACUCCUACGGGAGGCAGCAGGG
RNAcentral lists this ribosomal RNA (260 nucleotides) under uncultured bacterium. Its description in RNAcentral is "partial 16S ribosomal RNA". It matches the Rfam family "Bacterial small subunit ribosomal RNA", at positions 97 to 354 of the family's 1533-position model. The record is from RNAcentral.